AGUGAACGCUGGCGGUAGGCCUAACACAUGCAAGUCGAACGGCAGCACAGUAAGAGCUUGCUCUUACGGGUGGCGAGUGGCGGACGGGUGAGGAAUACAUCGGAAUCUACUUUUUCGUGGGGGAUAACGUAGGGAAACUUACGCUAAUACCGCAUACGACCUACGGGUGAAAGCAGGGGAUCUUCGGACCUUGCGCGAUUGAAUGAGCCGAUGUCGGAUUAGCUAGUUGGCGGGGUAAAGGCCCACCAAGGCGACGAUCCGUAGCUGGUCUGAGAGGAUGAUCAGCCACACUGGAACUGAGACACGGUCCAGACUCCUACGGGAGGCAGCAGUGGGGAAUAUUGGACAAUGGGCGCAAGCCUGAUCCAGCCAUACCGCGUGGGUGAAAAAGGCCUUCGGGUUGUAAAGCCCUUUUGUUGGGAAAGAAAAGCAGCAGGUUAAUACCCCGCUGUUCUGACGGUACCCAAAGAAUAAGCACCGGCUAACUUCGUG
RNAcentral lists this ribosomal RNA (492 nucleotides) under uncultured bacterium. RNAcentral describes it as "partial 16S ribosomal RNA". It matches the Rfam family "Bacterial small subunit ribosomal RNA", at positions 29 to 507 of the family's 1533-position model. The record is from RNAcentral.